AACGAACGCUGGCGGCAUGCCUAACACAUGCAAGUCGAACGAGACCUUCGGGUCUAGUUGCGCACGGGUGCGUAACGCGUGGGAACCUGCCCUUAGGUUCGGAAUAACUCCCCGAAGGGGGUGCUAAUGCCGGAUAAUGUCUUCGGACCAAAGAUUUAUCGCCUUUGUAUGGGCGCGGGUUGCAUUGGCUUGUUGGUAGGGUAAAAGCCUACCAAGGCGACGAUCCAUAGCUGGUCUGAGAGAAUGAUCAGCCACACUGGGACUGGGACCCGGCCCAGACUCCUACGCGAAGCAGCAGUGGGGAAUAUUGGACAAUGGGCGAAAGCCUGAUCCAGCAAUGCCGCGUGAGUGAUGAAGGCCUUAGGGUUGUAAAGCUCUUUUACCCGGGAUGAUAAUGACAGUACCGGGAGAAUAAGCUCCGGCUAACUCCGUG
RNAcentral lists this ribosomal RNA (433 nucleotides) under uncultured bacterium. Its description in RNAcentral is "partial 16S ribosomal RNA". It matches the Rfam family "Bacterial small subunit ribosomal RNA", at positions 29 to 507 of the family's 1533-position model. The record is from RNAcentral.